CCUUGUAGUAGUUCUCAAGAACCUGGGUCUCCGAGCGCCACACGGGACCACUUCCGGCCAGUGGUGCCCCUCCCCAAGCUACAGUCACCUACUGCUCUGUGAGGAAGGAGGAAUCUCCAGCCAGCAGCAGAGGAAACAGGAUGGGGAAUACAGAGCAAAGUUGCUCUGAGCAAGAGACCCUCAGGAGUUCUUGAUGGCAG
Long non-coding RNA from Myodes glareolus (Bank vole), 200 nucleotides. RefSeq lists it as uncharacterized. The record is from RefSeq and is a predicted model, not a curated record. Lineage: Eukaryota; Metazoa; Chordata; Mammalia; Rodentia; Cricetidae.